This 253-nucleotide ribosomal RNA is filed under the name uncultured bacterium. RNAcentral's name for it is "partial 16S ribosomal RNA". It matches the Rfam family "Bacterial small subunit ribosomal RNA", at positions 524 to 776 of the family's 1533-position model. The record is from RNAcentral.
UACGAAGGGAGCUAGCGUUGUUCGGAAUUACUGGGCGUAAAGGGCGCGUAGGCGGUCUGAUAAGUUUGAUGUGAAAGCCCUGGGCUUAACCUAGGAAUUGCAUUGGAUACUGUUAGACUAGAGACCGAGAGAGGAAAAUGGAAUUGCGAGUGUAGAGGUGAAAUUCUUAGAUAUUCGCAAGAACAUCAGUGGCGAAGGCGAUUUUCUGGCUCGGUACUGACGCUAAGGCGCGAAAGCGUGGGGAGCAAACAGG